AAGUCGUAACAAGGUUUCCGUAGGUGAACCUGCGGAAGGAUCAUCAAUGAAAAAAUCCAGCCAAAAAACUUGGGCAAAAAAUUCGCCUGGUUGGUAUAUCUCUAAAGUUUACUUUGAGGUAAAAGUUUAGCCUGAAUUUUUCAGGGCAAAUUAAUACUUGGUCAAAUUAUUAUUUUUUUGACAGAGAAAACUUUCAGGCGAAAAAAGUGUGUGCUCACUUUGCCUGAAUUUUAGCUAAAAAGCCAAACAAAAAAAACAACUUUCGGCAACGGAUCUCUCGGCUCUCC
Molecule: unclassified non-coding RNA, 287 nt
Filed under: fungal sp.
Lineage: Eukaryota; Fungi
Description: partial internal transcribed spacer region
Rfam family: Eukaryotic small subunit ribosomal RNA (bases 1-46)
Source: RNAcentral